UGAGGAAAUAUGAGAGCCCCAGGAACUGAAAAGGCCUGUGAGAGACUCUGAGCUUCCUGGGAACAGGAUGAUAGUUAAAAAAAAAAAUGUUGGCCAGGCGCAGUGAUGGAUGCAUAUGAUCCCAGCACUUUGGGAGGCCGAGGUGGGCAGAUUGCUUGAGUUCAGGAGUUCAAGACCAGCCUGGCAACAUGGUGAAAUCCUGUGUCUACAAAAAAUGCAAAAAUUAGCUGGACAUGAUGGCAUGUGCCUUUGGUUCCAGCUACUUAGGAGGCUGAGGUAGGAGGAUGGCUUGAGCCCAGGAGGCGGAGGUUGCAGUGAGCCAAAAUCGUGCCACCGCACUCUAGCCUGGGCAACAGAGCCAGACCAUAUCUCAAAAAAAAAAAAAAAAAAGUUUAUCUACAAAAAUGCUUUUGUGCCUCUUACAUACAACCCUUCCAGAGGAAAGGCCUAGCUGAGAGUAAGAGAUGGUUGAAAAAAUGCAAUGUUAUGAUUGCUGAACAGGGCACGACUGUUUUUGUAAUAUUGGAGAAAAUAAUUAAAGCCUGGCACCUGGGGAGGCUUGAUCCCUGGAAGCCUCCUCUUGCUGAAGGAAAAUUCCCAGUGCUGCCUUUCCAUGUGCUGUGAGUGCUUUGAGUUCAGACUGACAACAGAGUGGGUCUAGCUUCUAUGCUUUCCAUGAAGAUCUCCCACAAAUGUCAUCCAUGCUCAUGAGAUGGAUCAACUUGUAUCCUGAACAAGCAAAACUGUUUGGGACUCACUGCCUUCAGGCAGUCCCUUGGAAGCCAAGGACUCUGGGAACUUUUCAGAUGGGACUGGAAACACUUGGGCAGGAGUUCCCCUGGUAGGAGGUCUGUUCACCUGUACAGCCUAAUGGAUGUCCUGCUUGAGGUGCCCUAAUAUUGCAAAUUCUUUGUUUACAGGGGUACCACCUGUGCCCCUGGGACUGUGCUUCUGUACAUGACCACAACUCUCAUGAUGUCCCCUCAGCCCUGGAAAGCAUUUGGGUUAGCUUCCGCUUACUGGUCAGAGUUAUACUGUGCCUGAAUUGAUGCCUCAGGUCAGGUUGAAAAAAAAAAAAAAGGUUCAGACAGCAAUUAAGGGCUGGGCACGGUGGCUCAUGCCUGUAAUCCCGGCACUUUGGGAGGCUGAGGUGGGCAGAUCACCUGAGGUCAGGAGUUUGAGACCAGCCUGACCGACAUGGUGAAAAGUAAAAAUACAAAAAUAAAAAAAUUAGCUGGGUGUGGUGGUGUGCACCUGUAGUCCCUACAAAAAUAAAAAAAUUAGCUGGGUGUGGUGGUGUGCACCUGUAGUCCCAGCUACUCGGGAGGCUGAGGCAGGAGAAUCGCUUGAACCCAGGAGGUGGAGGCUGCAGUGAGCCAAGAUCACGCCACUGCACUCCAGCCUGGGUGACAGAGCAAGACUCCAUCUCAACAACAACAACAAAAAGGAAUUAAGGAGGAAGCCACCUGGCUUCCUAAGAUAGACUUUAUGGUUAAUGGGAUUUAUUUUAGCUGGUUAAGUCCAGGACCCCUACCAGGAAGAACUGAGGUCCAUAUUUGAGGUUGGUCUCACCCUUUUGCAUGUGGUCCUACUAAUAAUAAUUUUGCUGUAAAGAAGCCUCAAUAAGGAGAUGGACUGUGUGAAAAGAGAUGAGAAAGCAGGCCUGUUUGCAAGGCUGGCCCUUGGCUGGCAUCUGAAAGCUUGGAUUUCAGGAGGGUUCUCAUUACUCCCUAAAUGAUAAGAGUGGCUCACUGUGCCUAAACUGUUCGUACAAACAAUGUGGGUUAUGCCCAACAUCUGCUUUCCUUCUGGGAGUCAGAUUUUCAUAUGUGUUAGGCAGAGGAUGAGGUGAGCAGCUCCCAAUGAGAACCCUGAACACUGAGUCUGUAAUGAGCUUCCCUUGUAUACAACAUUGCACAUGGGUUGUCACAACUGAUUGCUGGAGGAAUUGUGUCCUAUGUGACUCUGCUGGGAGAGGACUGUGGGAGGCUUACACCUGGUUUCCCUGGACUUUGUCCAUGCGCUUUUUUCCUUUGCUGAUUUUGCUUCCUAGCCUUUCGCUGUAGUAAAACAUAGCCAUGAGUAUGACUACAGGCUGAGUCUGUGAAUCUCCUAGUACAUCAUCAGACUAGGAGGUGGUGGUGUUGGCACCCCCCAGCACAGGGCACAAGGGAGACUUGCAGGGUGUUUGUCAUGUUCCCUUUCUCAAUCUGGGUGUGGUUUACAGAUUUGUUCAGUUUGUGAAAAUUCACUGAGCUCUAUGAACAAUUAUAAUAUGUACAUUUUUUUCUGUAAGUGUAUUAAAUUUCAAUAAAAA
RNAcentral lists this long non-coding RNA (2317 nucleotides) under Homo sapiens (human). Its description in RNAcentral is "HSALNT0385001". The record is from RNAcentral. Lineage: Eukaryota; Metazoa; Chordata; Mammalia; Primates; Hominidae.